Molecule: ribosomal RNA, 499 nt
Filed under: uncultured bacterium
Lineage: Bacteria
Description: bacterial SSU rRNA
Rfam family: Bacterial small subunit ribosomal RNA
Source: RNAcentral
GAUGAACGCUAGCGGCAGGCCUAACACAUGCAAGUCGAGGGGCAGCACAUGAGUAGCAAUACGAUGGUGGCGACCGGCGCACGGGUGAGUAACACGUAUGCAACCUGCCUGUAAGAGGGGGAUAACCCGGAGAAAUUCGGACUAAUACCGCAUAAUACCACGAGACUGCAUGGUUUUGUGGUUAAAACAUUUAUGGCUUACAGAUGGGCAUGCGUAUGAUUAGAUAGUUGGUAGGGUAACGGCCUACCAAGUCUACGAUCAUUAGGGGUUCUGAGAGGAAGGUCCCCCACACUGGUACUGAGACACGGACCAGACUCCUACGGGAGGCAGCAGUGAGGAAUAUUGGUCAAUGGGCGAGAGCCUGAACCAGCCAAGUCGCGUGAAGGAAGAAGGUUCUAUGGAUUGUAAACUUCUUUUGCAGGGGAAUAAAGGGACGGUACGUGUACUGUUUUGUAUGUACUGCGAAUAAGGAUCGGCUAACUCCGUGCCAGCAGCCGAC